GUCAAAUCUGUUGCUAAUAUUGUGCUUAAAAAGCCAACUCCAAAGAAGCCAGAACUUUACGUAGAGCUCUAAAAGCUGCUGAAAAUGACAACUUUGAGGAAACGGAAGGACUGCUCUAUGCACCAGGCAUAGCUGAUUAAUAUGACUUUGGAAGGCUGUGUGUUUCCCCGAACCAACUCAUCUUUUCUUUGAGGACUCCAUAUUGACGUCAAAAAUUUUAAACAAAUUAAUGUAAAAUUAACUU
Molecule: long non-coding RNA, 244 nt
Organism: Neodiprion fabricii
Lineage: Eukaryota; Metazoa; Arthropoda; Insecta; Hymenoptera; Diprionidae
Exons: 2
Source: RefSeq, a predicted model, not a curated record